Small nuclear RNA from Callithrix jacchus (white-tufted-ear marmoset), 97 nucleotides. Its record names the gene U2. It matches the Rfam family "U2 spliceosomal RNA". Rfam says of the family: U2 is a small nuclear RNA (snRNA) component of the spliceosome (involved in pre-mRNA splicing). Complementary binding between U2 snRNA (in an area lying towards the 5' end but 3' to hairpin I) and the branchpoint sequence (BPS) of the intron results the bulging out of an unpaired adenosine, on the BPS, which initiates a nucleophilic attack at the intronic 5' splice site, thus starting the first of two transesterification reactions that mediate splicing. NCBI's taxonomy places the organism in Eukaryota, Metazoa, Chordata, Mammalia, Primates, Cebidae. The record is from Ensembl.
AUUGCUUCUUCGCCUUUUGGCUAUGAUCAAGUGUAGUAUCUGUUCUUGACAGUUUAAUAUCAGUUUAAUAUAAAUUUCAAUAUAAAUUUCAAUAUAU